This is a long non-coding RNA of Octopus sinensis (East Asian common octopus), 401 nucleotides long. RefSeq lists it as uncharacterized. The transcript is spliced from 3 exons. The record is from RefSeq and is a predicted model, not a curated record. NCBI's taxonomy places the organism in Eukaryota, Metazoa, Mollusca, Cephalopoda, Octopoda, Octopodidae.
UUGUUGCUGCUCUGCCAUAAUAUGACAGUGUCCCAAAAUGCUAGUGGCCUCUCCACCAGCUCACUAGCCCAAUCUUUUCACCGCUUGGUGUUAACUGGUCGAAGAAGUGGAUUCCUUCUUACUGCUCUGCCAUAGUAACCAAGUUUGUGGAGAUACCUCACAGCUAUUCUGGGAUUGACAUCAACUUGUUCUGCUAUGUCAGAGGCCUUACAAUGAGGAUUAUCCUCCACACUUCUCUAAGCAAAGAAAAGGAUCCUGUCAGAGGGCCCUGGUUAAUCUGGGCUAGGUGAUGCAGACCCCUUACACUCUCUUGUGAAUUUCACAAUCACUCUAUCAACUGUAGAAAGCGGGAUCCCAAGGUUUUUUGUGAUUUUACGCUGACUAUGUCUACCUUCUGAUUG